RNAcentral lists this ribosomal RNA (433 nucleotides) under uncultured microorganism. RNAcentral describes it as "bacterial SSU rRNA". It matches the Rfam family "Bacterial small subunit ribosomal RNA", at positions 346 to 795 of the family's 1533-position model. The record is from RNAcentral.
CGGCAGCAGCAAGGAAUAUUGCGCAAUGGGCGAAAGCCUGACGCAGCGACGCCGCGUGAGGGAUGAAGGCCUUCGGGUUGUAAACCUCUUUUAUCAGGGAAGAAUAAUGACGGUACCUGAGGAAUAAGUCUCGGCUAACUACGUGCCAGCAGCCGCGGUAAUACGUAGGAGGCGAGCGUUAUCCGGAUUUACUGGGCGUAAAGAGGGUGCAGGCGGCUCUUCAAGUCGGAUGUGAAAUCUCCUGGCUUAACUGGGAGGGGUCAUUCGAAACUGCUGGGCUCGAGUGCAGCAGAGGAAAGCGGAAUUCCCGGUGUAGUGGUGAAAUGCGUAGAUAUCGGGAGGAACACCAGUGGCGAAGGCGGCUUUCUGGGCUGUAACUGACGCUGAGGCCCGUAAGCGUGGGGAGCGAACAGGAUUAGAUACCCUUGUAGUC